This 261-nucleotide unclassified non-coding RNA is filed under the name uncultured fungus. RNAcentral describes it as "sequence contains ITS1". The stretch from base 1 to 98 matches the Rfam family "5.8S ribosomal RNA", at positions 49 to 154 of the family's 154-position model. Lineage: Eukaryota; Fungi. The record is from RNAcentral.
UAAAGUGCGAAAUGUAAUGCGAUUUGCAUGAAUCUGUGAGUCAUUUAAUCUUUGAACGCAACUUGCACCCAUUCCUGGGUAUGUUUGUUUGAGACGGCAAACCCGAUGAAUUCUGUCGAUCUGGCCAUGACUUGGUCUUGGCUCAAAAGCAGCAUGCUACAACGGAAUUUGCUAGAGCUAGAGACGCAAGUCUUUUCUAAGCAAAUCGAACGCAAUAUCUAUAUCCGUCUCAAAUCAAGCAAGAUUACCCGCUGAACUUAA